GUUGGGGUGGCAGAGCCUGGCUAUUGCGGAAGGCCUAAAACCUUUCAACGGAGGUUCAAGUCCUCUCCCUAACU
RNAcentral lists this transfer RNA (74 nucleotides) under Taaningichthys minimus. Its description in RNAcentral is "tRNA-Leu (UUR)". It matches the Rfam family "tRNA". From Rfam's summary of the family: Transfer RNA (tRNA) molecules are approximately 80 nucleotides in length. The record is from RNAcentral. Lineage: Eukaryota; Metazoa; Chordata; Actinopteri; Myctophiformes; Myctophidae.